GCCUUCGUGGUGUAAUGGACAGCACACUAGGCACGUAUUCCAGAGGUCCGAGGUUCGAGUCCCGGCGAAGACA
Non-coding RNA from Stegodyphus mimosarum, 73 nucleotides. The record is from Rfam. Lineage: Eukaryota; Metazoa; Arthropoda; Arachnida; Araneae; Eresidae.